ACUGACAGCCAUGGUUACCGCGGCUGCUGGCACGGAGUUAGCCGGUGCUUCUUCUGUGAGUGAUGUCCUUCCUGCCGGCUAUUAACCCGCAGGCCUUCUUCCUCACUGAAAGUGCUUUACAACCCGAAGGCCUUCUUCACACACGCGGCAUGGCUGGAUCAGGGUUGCCCCCAUUGUCCAAUAUUCCCCACUGCUGCCUCCCGUAGGAGUCUGGGCCGUGUCUCAGUCCCAGUGUGGCUGAUCAUCCUCUCAGACCAGCUACGGAUCGUCGCCUUGGUGAGCCGUUACCUCACCAACCAGCUAAUCCGACAUAGGCUCAACCGAUAGCGCGAGGCCCGAAGGUCCCCCGCUUUCCCCCGUAGGGCGUAUGCGGUAUUAGCCUGGGUUUCCCCAGGUUAUCCCCACUACCGGGCAGAUUCCUAUGCAUUACUCACCCGUCCGCCGCUCGCCACCAGGGAGCAAGCUCCCCGUGCUGCCGCUCGACUUGCAUGUGUUAGGCCUGCCGCCAGCGUUCAAU
RNAcentral lists this ribosomal RNA (517 nucleotides) under uncultured bacterium. RNAcentral's name for it is "partial 16S ribosomal RNA". The record is from RNAcentral.